Molecule: non-coding RNA, 188 nt
Filed under: Desulfosporosinus youngiae
Lineage: Bacteria; Bacillati; Bacillota; Clostridia; Eubacteriales; Desulfitobacteriaceae
Source: RNAcentral
AAUCGAAUAUUGGCGAUAAGUGAUCUUUGCUCGAGGGCAAGGAUUGAAAAGGGAAGUCAGAUAAGCUGACGCGGUACCCGCCACUGUAUAAGGGAGUCGAUUCAUAGAUUGUCACUGGGCUGCGCCCGGGAAGACGUGAAUGGAUAAGGAUCUUGAGCCAGGAAACCUGCUUAUGCCGACCACUGUAA